RNAcentral lists this ribosomal RNA (497 nucleotides) under uncultured bacterium. RNAcentral describes it as "partial 16S ribosomal RNA". It matches the Rfam family "Bacterial small subunit ribosomal RNA", at positions 28 to 507 of the family's 1533-position model. The record is from RNAcentral.
GAUGAACGCUGGCGGCGUGCCUAAUACAUGCAAGUCGAGCGAACAGACGAGUAGCUUGCUCCUCUGACGUUAGCGGCGGACGGGUGAGUAACACGUGGAUAACCUACCUAUAAGACUGGGAUAACUUCGGGAAACCGGAGCUAAUACCGGAUAAUAUAUUGAACCGCAUGGUUCAAUAGUGAAAGACGGUUUUGCUGUCACUUAUAGAUGGAUCCGCGCCGCAUUAGCUAGUUGGUAAGGUAACGGCUUACCAAGGCAACGAUGCGUAGCCGACCUGAGAGGGUGAUCGGCCACACUGGAACUGAGACACGGUCCAGACUCCUACGGGAGGCAGAAGUAGGGAAUCUUCCGCAAUGGGCGAAAGCCUGACAGAGCAAAGCCGCGUGAGUGAUGAAGGUCUUCGGAUAGUAAAACUCUGUUAUUAGGGAAGAACAAAUGUGUAAGUAACUAUGCACGUCUUGACGGUACCUAAUCAGAAAGCCACGGCUAACUACGUG